RNAcentral lists this long non-coding RNA (314 nucleotides) under Daucus carota (carrot). RNAcentral's name for it is "long non-coding RNA (DCAR_LNC007512)". Lineage: Eukaryota; Viridiplantae; Streptophyta; Magnoliopsida; Apiales; Apiaceae. The record is from RNAcentral.
AUGAAAGAAGUAAUACCUUAUGUCAACGAGCACUAGAUCGGGCAGUAGGUCCUGAGGUUCCAAUAGCAAGAUCCUUAGAUUCCAAGGAGUAGAGAAUGCUUCACAGAGUUGCUGGAAAUGGAGUUAUUUCCUUGUUCUUGACAUCUUCUCAUUCUAACAAGAAAUCAACCUCAUUCCACGAAUGACAGCUUCACGAGAUAAUAAAUCCCCUGUCUUUCUGACAAUCUGUAAAACAAUAUCUAUGUAGUUGUACAGGUUAAGCACAGUAUCUUUAGGGUACCAUUCCAAUAGAUUAGGCAAUCCCCAAAAAUAAC